RNAcentral lists this non-coding RNA (196 nucleotides) under Hafnia alvei. The record is from RNAcentral. Lineage: Bacteria; Pseudomonadati; Pseudomonadota; Gammaproteobacteria; Enterobacterales; Hafniaceae. RNAcentral also lists the same sequence under 1 other name.
UAGAAAAGUAUAAAUACAGGUUUUUGACGCGCCGUAAGGGCGUCAGGAAGGAGGUGCGUAUUGUAAAAAUACAAUUCCUCCGCAGCCCCCGCUGCUGUGAUGCCGACGAGCCCACAAGACGCCACUGAUGAACAUCGGGAAGGUGUGGGUAAGGAUGACGCUAAGCCAGAAGACCAGCCUGUAAAAACCCAAUAUU